AACGAACGCUGGCGGCAUGCCUAACACAUGCAAGUCGAACGAUGCUUUCGGGCAUAGUGGCGCACGGGUGCGUAACGCGUGGGAAUCUGCCCUUGGGUUCGGAAUAACAGUGAGAAAUUGCUGCUAAUACCGGAUGAUGUCUUCGGACCAAAGAUUUAUCGCCCAGGGAUGAGCCCGCGUAGGAUUAGCUAGUUGGUGGGGUAAUGGCCUACCAAGGCGACGAUCCUUAGCUGGUCUGAGAGGAUGAUCAGCCACACUGGGACUGAGACACGGCCCAGACUCCUACGGGAGGCAGCAGUGGGGAAUAUUGGACAAUGGGCGCAAGCCUGAUCCAGCAAUGCCGCAUGAGUGAUGAAGGCCUUAGGGUUGUAAAGCUCUUUUACCCGGGAUGAUAAGGACAGUACCGGGAGAAUAAGCUCCGGCUAACUCCGU
Molecule: ribosomal RNA, 432 nt
Filed under: uncultured bacterium
Lineage: Bacteria
Description: partial 16S ribosomal RNA
Rfam family: Bacterial small subunit ribosomal RNA
Source: RNAcentral